GCCGCUUCGCAAACCCUAGUGCAGAGACUACAGACUGCAGACCUUGAGAAGCCGCGACGCCGCGCAGCCCUCUCCGCCUCUCCGAGUCUCCGACGAGAGAGGAGUCGCAGCCCAGCACUCCCCCAGGUGCCCUCUCUCCACUCUCCAGUCUCCAGUCUCCAUGCAGCCGGCAGCCCGCUCGCCUCACUGCCUUGCGCCGACUCGGAGUCGCCGGUCAGCCUCGCGCCUCAGCCCUCUCAAAUCAGAUUCUCAGUAUUAAAUGCCCAACGAGACACGGACACUGGAAGACUCCCUUGCCAACGACGACGACCCUUGUCUCCGGUCUCCACCCUUGCCAACGAUGAAUGGACGAAGCUGCUACCCACGAGACCGAGUGAGUUCGUUAAGUAAGCAAAAAGAUUGGCAAUUUUG
Molecule: long non-coding RNA, 411 nt
Organism: Ipomoea nil (Japanese morning glory)
Lineage: Eukaryota; Viridiplantae; Streptophyta; Magnoliopsida; Solanales; Convolvulaceae
Exons: 3
Source: RefSeq, a predicted model, not a curated record